RNAcentral lists this small RNA (230 nucleotides) under Bacillus velezensis. RNAcentral describes it as "BsrG". It matches the Rfam family "BsrG", at positions 11 to 221 of the family's 259-position model. From Rfam's summary of the family: bsrE, bsrG and bsrH pair through intermolecular interactions with antisense sRNAs. SR4 interaction with the 3'UTR of bsrG RNA promotes bsrG degradation and inhibits its translation. Lineage: Bacteria; Bacillati; Bacillota; Bacilli; Caryophanales; Bacillaceae. The record is from RNAcentral.
AUUAAGUAUGCUCACUUAAGGGAGUCUUGCUCACUCCCUAUAGAAAGGGGGGUGAUGCUUAUGUCACCAUUUCAGGCAUUAAUGUUAAUGCUUGCAUUCGGGUCGUUUAUAACCGCCCUGUUGACAUAUAUAAAUAAAAAAUAGACCUCCCUUAAGCCUCAAAACCUGAAGGGAUAGGUCUACUAAGAAACCGCAUCGAGUAAGCCUUUUGACGGGGUGUGAUCAACACC